ACGCGGGCUCUUCCCAUUGCUGGGAUGAUUCAUGAUAACUCGACGGAUCACAUGGCCAUCGUGCCGGCGAUGCAUCCUUCAAAUUUUUGUCCUAUCAAGUUUCGCUGGUAGGAUAGUAUCCUACCAUGGAGGUGAUGGGUGAUGGAGAAUUAGGGUUUGAUUUUGGAGAGGGAUCCUGAGAAAUGGCUACCAUAUCCAAGGAAGACAGCAGGAGCGCAAAUUACCAAAUCCUUACACGGGGAGGUAGUCAUAAUAAAUAACAAUACCGGGCUCAAUUAGUCUGGUAAUUGGAAUAAGUACAAUCUAUAUCCCUUAAAGAGGAUCCAUUGGAGGGAGUGUCUGGUGCCAGUAGCCAUGGUAAUUCCAGCACUAAUAGCAUAUAUUUUAGUUGUUUCAGUUAAAAAGCUCAAAGUUGGACUUUGGGAUCGACCGGCCGGUCUACCUAUGGUGUGCAUUAGUCGUCUCGUCCAUUCUGUUGGGUCGUGCCUCCCGCGCUGUUACUUUGAAGAAAUUAGAGUACUUAAAGUAAGCCUACACUGUAUUUAUUAGCAUGGGAUAAUAUUAUAGGAUUUUGGUCCUAUUAUGUUGGCCUUCAAGAUCGGAGUAAUGAUUAACAGGGACAGUCGGGGGCAUUCGUAUUUCAUAGUCAGAGGUGAAAUUAUUGGAUUUAUCAAAUACAAACAACUGCGAAAGCAUUUUCCAAGGAUGUUUUCAUUAAUUAAGAACGAAAGUUGGGGGGCUCGAAGGCAGUCAGAUACUGUCCUAGUCUCAACCAUAAAUAAUGUCGACCAGGGAUCGACGGAUGUUGCUGUUAGGACUCCACCGGCACCUUAUGAGAAAUCAAAGUUUUUAGGUUUUGGGGGGAGUAUGGUCGCAAGGCUAAAACUUAGAGGAGGUGAUAGAAGGGAACCAGAGGAGGUGACGGAAGGGCACCACCAAGAGUGGAGCCUGCGGCUUAAUUUGACUCAACACGGGGAAACUUACCAGGUCCAGACAUAGUAAGGAUUGACAAACUAAGAGCUCUUUCUUGAUUCUAUUGGUGGUGAUGCAUGUCCGUUCUUAGUUUGUAGAGCGAUUUGUCUGGUUAAUUCCGUUAAUGAACGAGACCUCAGCCUGCUAACUAACUAUGCAGAGUUUUCCCUUCGUGGCUAGAUUCUUAGAGGGACUACAGCCUCUUAGGCCGCGGAAGUUUAACGCAAUAACAGGUCUGUGAUGUCCUUAGAUGUUCUGGGCCGCACGCGCACUACACUGAUGUAUUCAACGAGUUUGUAGCCUUAGCCGACAGUCCCGGGUAAAAUUUGAAAUUUCAUCGUGAUGGGGAUAGAUCAUUGCAAUUAUUGGUCUUCAACGAGGAAUUCCUAGUAAGUGCGAGUCAUCAGCUCGCGUUGACUACGUCCCUACAUUUUGUACACACCGCCUGUCACUCCUACCGAUGGAAUGAUCCGGUGAAAUGUUCGGAUCAGGCGAUGUGGGUAGUUCGCUACCCGCGAUAUCACAAGAAGUCCAUUAAACCUUAUCAUUUAGAGGAAGGAGAAUUCGUAACAAGGUUUGCAUAGAUAAACCUGCGGAAG
Molecule: ribosomal RNA, 1571 nt
Filed under: Capsicum baccatum
Lineage: Eukaryota; Viridiplantae; Streptophyta; Magnoliopsida; Solanales; Solanaceae
Description: bacterial SSU rRNA
Rfam family: Eukaryotic small subunit ribosomal RNA
Source: RNAcentral